Molecule: ribosomal RNA, 468 nt
Filed under: uncultured bacterium
Lineage: Bacteria
Description: partial 16S ribosomal RNA
Rfam family: Bacterial small subunit ribosomal RNA
Source: RNAcentral
GACGAACGCUGGCGGUGUGCUUAACACAUGCAAGUCGAACGGAAAGGCCCUGCUUUUGUGGGGUGCUCGAGUGGCGAACGGGUGAGUAACACGUGAGUAACCUGCCCUUGACUUUGGGAUAACUUCAGGAAACUGGGGCUAAUACCGGAUAGGAGCUCCUGCUGCAUGGUGGGGGUUGGAAAGUUUCGGCGGUUGGGGAUGGACUCGCGGCUUAUCAGCUUGUUGGUGGGGUAGUGGCUUACCAAGGCUUUGACGGGUAGCCGGCCUGAGAGGGUGACCGGCCACAUUGGGACUGAGAUACGGCCCAGACUCCUACGGGAGGCAGCAGUGGGGAAUAUUGCACAAUGGGCGGAAGCCUGAUGCAGCAACGCCGCGUGCGGGAUGACGGCCUUCGGGUUGUAAACCGCUUUCGCCUGUGACGAAGCGUGAGUGACGGUAAUAGGUAAAGAAGCACCGGCUAACUACGUG